RNAcentral lists this long non-coding RNA (394 nucleotides) under Calidris pugnax (ruff). RNAcentral's name for it is "lncRNA (ENSCPUG00000002366.1)". Lineage: Eukaryota; Metazoa; Chordata; Aves; Charadriiformes; Scolopacidae. The record is from RNAcentral.
AUGGGUAUUUCCAUCCCAACUAGAGAAGUUGGACUACUUCCUCUCUUUCAGAGGAAACAGACUGAAAAGUCUCCCAGCUGUAUUCAUGCUCUACUAAUUUUCUUUCCCUCCUUUCCACCAGUUUUUGCCUGUGUGAAGAAUAGGCAUUUCUUGUGUUUCCUGCAAGAGAACCUUUGCAGAACUUCUUUUGCUUGGAAAAUGGAUGCCUGGCUCGGAGUAAAGGGCAUGCAGUGCACAGUCCCUAGCAGAAGCUGAAAAGGGAUGACACCUACUGAUGCUUGUCGACAAUGUCUUCUCCUCUCUUCCUGUUUGAGAUGGGUGAUACGACCAUCAGGAAAAAGUUCUAAAAUAAGCUUGAGUGACCUCAUCGCCCCUUGACUCCUCUUUCCACAAG